GACGAACGCGGCGGCGUGCUUAACACAUGCAAGUCGAACGGAGCGAAUGAAAGCUUGCUUUUAUGAGCUUAGUGGCAAACGGGUGAGUAACACGUAGACAACCUGCCGAUCAGAUGGGGACAACAUUCCGAAAGGAAUGCUAAUACCGAAUGAAGUGUGGGGGAGGCAUCUUCCCUACAUGAAAGAUGGCCUCUAUUUAUAAGCUAUCACUGAUCGAUGGGUCUGCGUCUGAUUAGCUGGUAGGUAAGGUAACGGCUUACCUAGGCGACGAUCAGUAGCCGGUCUGAGAGGAUGAACGGCCACAUUGGGACUGAGACACGGCCCAGACUCCUACGGGAGGCAGCAGUGGGGAAUCUUCCGCAAUGGGCGCAAGCCUGACGGAGCAACGCCGCGUGAGUGAAGAAGGUCUUCGGAUCGUAAAGCUCUGUUGAAGGGGACGAACGUACAUAAGUUGAAUAAGCUUAUGUAAUGACGGUACCUUGAGGAGCC
This 489-nucleotide ribosomal RNA is filed under the name Centipeda artemidis. Its description in RNAcentral is "bacterial SSU rRNA". It matches the Rfam family "Bacterial small subunit ribosomal RNA", at positions 28 to 492 of the family's 1533-position model. Lineage: Bacteria; Bacillati; Bacillota; Negativicutes; Selenomonadales; Selenomonadaceae. The record is from RNAcentral.